AUACGGAGGGUGCAAGCGUUAAUCGGAAUUACUGGGCGUAAAGAGUACGUAGGUUGUUCGUUUAGUCAGAUGUGAAAGCCCAGGGCUCAACCUUGGAACUGCAUUUGAAACUGGCGAACUAGAGUAUGGUAGAGGGGGGUAGAAUUCAUAGUGUAGCGGUGAAAUGCGUAGAUAUUAUGAGGAAUACCGGUGGCGAAGGCGGCCCCCUGGCCCAAUACUGACACUGAGGUACGAAAGCGUGGGUAGCGAACGGGAUUAGAAACCCCGGUAGUCC
Molecule: ribosomal RNA, 274 nt
Filed under: uncultured bacterium
Lineage: Bacteria
Description: partial 16S ribosomal RNA
Rfam family: Bacterial small subunit ribosomal RNA
Source: RNAcentral